AUGGCGAUUACGCGGCGCGGUCCGAGCGGGUGGGUUCUGCUCCUGGCGAGAGGAGGGGAGGGGAUCUGGAGGGAGAGGCUGGUCGAAGUUAGGGUUCGCGAGUGGGGAAAAUUUGGGAAAUGGUCCGUGGACCACGGGAGCAACGACGGGGGUGGGGUGUGGGUGGAUCACGUUCAUCCAUUGGCGAGAUUGGCGGCGGUGCAGAAGGAGAGCUCCUACGCACCACCGGUUCUUUACAGCCUAUGUGAAUUGCAGCAGCGCCAGAUCGACGUUGUUGUUGGUGUAUGA
This 288-nucleotide ribosomal RNA is filed under the name Triticum aestivum (bread wheat). Its description in RNAcentral is "partial small subunit ribosomal RNA". The record is from RNAcentral. Lineage: Eukaryota; Viridiplantae; Streptophyta; Magnoliopsida; Poales; Poaceae.